RNAcentral lists this transfer RNA (73 nucleotides) under Felis catus (domestic cat). It matches the Rfam family "tRNA". Rfam says of the family: Transfer RNA (tRNA) molecules are approximately 80 nucleotides in length. Their secondary structure includes four short double-helical elements and three loops (D, anti-codon, and T loops). Further hydrogen bonds mediate the characteristic L-shaped molecular structure. tRNAs have two regions of fundamental functional importance: the anti-codon, which is responsible for specific mRNA codon recognition, and the 3' end, to which the tRNAs corresponding amino acid is attached (by aminoacyl-tRNA synthetases). tRNAs cope with the degeneracy of the genetic code in two manners: having more than one tRNA (with a specific anti-codon) for a particular amino acid; and 'wobble' base-pairing, i.e. permitting non-standard base-pairing at the 3rd anti-codon position. Lineage: Eukaryota; Metazoa; Chordata; Mammalia; Carnivora; Felidae. The record is from Rfam by way of RNAcentral.
GCCUGGCUGGCUCAGUAGGUAGAGCAUGUGAUUCUUGAUCUCAGGGCCAUGAGUUCAAGGCCCAUGUUGGCUA